GUAGGUGAACCUGCGGAAGGAUCAUUACAGAGAAAUUGCCCUUCGGGGUAGAUCUCCCACCCUUUGUUUACAUUUACCUUUGUUGCUUUGGCAGGCCCGUCUUAGGACCACCGGCUUAGGCUGGUCUGUGCCUGCCAGAGACCCCAAAACUCUUAUUUUUAUGUCGUCUGAGUAAAAUACAAAUAAGUUAAAACUUUCAACAACGGAUCUCUUGGUUCUG
This 220-nucleotide unclassified non-coding RNA is filed under the name rhizosphere metagenome. RNAcentral's name for it is "partial ribosomal RNA internal transcribed spacer region". The record is from RNAcentral.